Prionailurus viverrinus (fishing cat) is the source of this 267-nucleotide long non-coding RNA. RefSeq lists it as uncharacterized. The record is from RefSeq and is a predicted model, not a curated record. NCBI's taxonomy places the organism in Eukaryota, Metazoa, Chordata, Mammalia, Carnivora, Felidae. The transcript is spliced from 3 exons.
CAGUACUGCCAGUAGUCUGAAACCCCUUCCCACCCGAUGGUCUCCAUUCCUCCCUUCAGUCAGCAAACAUCUGUUGUGCAUCUGCUGGGACUGUGGCAUUUUCAUGGUCUUUGGUUGGCUUUAUCAACUUCCUGUGGCCUUCUGCGUUCAUUGGCCAACAGAACACAGUAGAAGUAUUGAUGCACCUAUUCUGAGCCUAGAUCCCAGUACUGUGUGUGUCUGCUUUCUCUCUGGAACCUCUACCAUGCCAUGCAAACAAGCCCUGGC